GAGGGUAUAGCUCAGUGGUAGAGCACAUGCUUAGCAUGCACGAGGUCUUGGGUUCACCUCUAGUGCCUCUA
This 71-nucleotide transfer RNA is filed under the name Camelus bactrianus (Bactrian camel). It matches the Rfam family "tRNA". From Rfam's summary of the family: Transfer RNA (tRNA) molecules are approximately 80 nucleotides in length. Their secondary structure includes four short double-helical elements and three loops (D, anti-codon, and T loops). The record is from Rfam by way of RNAcentral. Lineage: Eukaryota; Metazoa; Chordata; Mammalia; Artiodactyla; Camelidae. RNAcentral also lists the same sequence under 2 other names.